GUAGGGGGCAAGCGUUAUCCGGAUUUAUUGGGUUUAAAGGGAGCGUAGGCCGGAGAUUAAGCGUGUUGUGAAAUGUAGACGCUCAACGUCUGCACUGCAGCGCGAACUGGUUUCCUUGAGUACGCACAAAGUGGGCGGAAUUCGUGGUGUAGCGGUGAAAUGCUUAGAUAUCACGAAGAACUCCGAUUGCGAAGGCAGCUCACUGGAGCGCAACUGACGCUGAAGCUCGAAAGUGCGGGUAUCGAACAGGAUUAGAUACCCUGGUAGUCCGCACGGUAAACGAUGGAUGCCCGCUGUUGGUCUGAAUAGGUCAGCGGCCAAGCGAAAGCAUUAAGCAUCCCACCUGGGGAGU
This 352-nucleotide ribosomal RNA is filed under the name uncultured bacterium. Its description in RNAcentral is "bacterial SSU rRNA". It matches the Rfam family "Bacterial small subunit ribosomal RNA", at positions 527 to 881 of the family's 1533-position model. The record is from RNAcentral.